Sycon ciliatum is the source of this 758-nucleotide long non-coding RNA. RefSeq lists it as uncharacterized. The transcript is spliced from 3 exons. The record is from RefSeq and is a predicted model, not a curated record. Lineage: Eukaryota; Metazoa; Porifera; Calcarea; Leucosolenida; Sycettidae.
GCAGAACGUGUUCAAUUUUAAUCAUCAUUAAUAGCAGAGGCUGUCAGAGACUCGUUUGGAAUCAAUGACCGAAAGGAAUUGUACAGCGAAGAAAAUAGAGCGAACGUAAACUCCAGGAGGCCUGAACAUGUUGUUCAUCAAACACGUUAUUCCCACGCUACUGCUUGUGAGCGGCUGGAAUGUCACAAGAGGUUUGACAAAAACGUCACCUUGCUUUGCAACAGGUCGUCCAUCACUUCCACUGUCCAGUGGUGAUGGCACAUUACGAUAUUCGUCAGUAACUGGCCCCCAACCAAUGCUAAGAACUGUAUUAGCUCCUCCAGGGCCGUACGAGGUGAUUUUCGAUUAUCCACCACAAUGUUACAUGGUAGCCAAGGAGAUCACAAUCGAGUCAGAAGGCAGCUGUAUUUUCCAGAUACACACGAGGGAACGGAUCGACUCAAAAUCACCGUGGACACAAUGGAAUCCUAACCAAAAGAUCGAAACCAAGCAGUCUGGUGGGAUGGAAGUAGAUCGUUUUAAGUUUGUAGUCUCUGUCAAAGUCCUCAAGCACCAGUUAAAUCUUCGCUUUCACAUAGCAUAUGGAUCUUGUAAAGUGGCACUUAAUGGUAAUGAGCCUUACAUUACUGUGAUAUCAGAAGAUAUCGAUGAAUGCAAGAAUGCAACAACCUGCAGUCCAAGUCCCAGAGGUACCUGUAAUAACACAUUCGGCAGUUACCAAUGCUCUUGUAAUGCCGGAUAUACUCAUGGAUCAACGU